GAUGAACGCUGGCGGCGUGCCUAAUACAUGCAAGUCGAGCGAACAGAUAAGGAGCUUGCUCCUUUGACGUUAGCGGCGGACGGGUGAGUAACACGUGGGUAACCUACCUAUAAGACUGGGAUAACUUCGGGAAACCGGAGCUAAUACCGGAUAACAUUUGGAACCGCAUGGUUCUAAAGUGAAAGAUGGUUUUGCUAUCACUUAUAGAUGGACCCGCGCCGUAUUAGCUAGUUGGUAAGGUCACGGCUUACCAAGGCGACGAUACGUAGCCGACCUGAGAGGGUGAUCGGCCACACUGGAACUGAGACACGGUCCAGACUCCUACGGGAGGCAGCAGUAGGGAAUCUUCCGCAAUGGGCGAAAGCCUGACGGAGCAACGCCGCGUGAGUGAUGAAGGGUUUCGGCUCGUAAAACUCUGUUAUUAGGGAAGAACAAAUGUGUAAGUAACUGUGCACGUCUUGACGGUACCUAAUCAGAAAGCCACGGCUAACUACGUG
Molecule: ribosomal RNA, 497 nt
Filed under: uncultured bacterium
Lineage: Bacteria
Description: partial 16S ribosomal RNA
Rfam family: Bacterial small subunit ribosomal RNA
Source: RNAcentral